This 498-nucleotide ribosomal RNA is filed under the name Constantinomyces patonensis. Its description in RNAcentral is "SSU rRNA". It matches the Rfam family "Eukaryotic small subunit ribosomal RNA", at positions 57 to 575 of the family's 1831-position model. The record is from RNAcentral. Lineage: Eukaryota; Fungi; Ascomycota; Dothideomycetes; Mycosphaerellales; Teratosphaeriaceae.
GUCUAAGUAUAAGCAACUAUACGGUGAAACUGCGAAUGGCUCAUUAAAUCAGUUAUCGUUUAUUUGAUAGUACCUUGCUACAUGGAUACCUGUGGUAAUUCUAGAGCUAAUACAUGCUAAAAACCUCGACUUCGGAAGGGGUGUAUUUAUUAGAUAAAAAACCAAUGCCCUUCGGGGCUCCUUGGUGAAUCAUAAUAACUUAACGAAUCGCAUGGCCUUGCGCCGGCGAUGGUUCAUUCAAAUUUCUGCCCUAUCAACUUUCGAUGGUAGGAUAGUGGCCUACCAUGGUAGCAACGGGUAACGGGGAAUUAGGGUUCUAUUCCGGAGAGGGAGCCUGAGAAACGGCUACCACAUCCAAGGAAGGCAGCAGGCGCGCAAAUUACCCAAUCCCGAUACGGGGAGGUAGUGACAAUAAAUACUGAUACAGGGCUCUUUUGGGUCUUGUAAUUGGAAUGAGUACAAUUUAAAUCCCUUAACGAGGAACAAUUGGAGGCAGCU